This 73-nucleotide transfer RNA is filed under the name Stegodyphus mimosarum. It matches the Rfam family "tRNA". Rfam says of the family: Transfer RNA (tRNA) molecules are approximately 80 nucleotides in length. Their secondary structure includes four short double-helical elements and three loops (D, anti-codon, and T loops). Further hydrogen bonds mediate the characteristic L-shaped molecular structure. tRNAs have two regions of fundamental functional importance: the anti-codon, which is responsible for specific mRNA codon recognition, and the 3' end, to which the tRNAs corresponding amino acid is attached (by aminoacyl-tRNA synthetases). tRNAs cope with the degeneracy of the genetic code in two manners: having more than one tRNA (with a specific anti-codon) for a particular amino acid; and 'wobble' base-pairing, i.e. permitting non-standard base-pairing at the 3rd anti-codon position. The record is from Rfam by way of RNAcentral. Lineage: Eukaryota; Metazoa; Arthropoda; Arachnida; Araneae; Eresidae.
GUCUUCGUGGUGUAAUGGCCAGCACACUUGUCCUGUAUUCGACAGGUCCAAGGUUCGAGUCCUGGCGAGUGCA